This is a non-coding RNA of Paramuricea clavata, 322 nucleotides long. The record is from the annotation of a GenBank genome assembly. NCBI's taxonomy places the organism in Eukaryota, Metazoa, Cnidaria, Anthozoa, Malacalcyonacea, Plexauridae.
UCAGCUCACACGUUUCUGCUCCGUCGAAUGAUCCCAUGGUUACAUCAAAUUUGUCGUUUGAAUUUUUCUUCUCCCAUGGUUUGCCAUCCCAAAAUAAUAGCGACUGUUUUGUAUGUAGGAUGAUGUCGCGUUAUUUUGUAUGUAGGAUGAUGUCGCGCAAUUCAUUAACAACUGUCUAAUGAAAGCGUCACUUGCAUGUUCAGUAAUAUUACCUACAAAAACUGUUACUAUUGGCUUGUCACUGUUUGGAGGUCUGUAGUUCUGUUGAUAAUUUCUUUUGUCAUAAUAAUCAUUGUGCUUCUUGGCAAAAUGUGGACGGUGA